Molecule: ribosomal RNA, 450 nt
Filed under: uncultured bacterium
Lineage: Bacteria
Description: bacterial SSU rRNA
Rfam family: Bacterial small subunit ribosomal RNA
Source: RNAcentral
GUGGGGAAUUUUGGACAAUGGGGGAAACCCUGAUCCAGCCAUUCCGCGUGAGUGAAGAAGGCCUUCGGGUUGUAAAGCUCUUUCGGCCGGAGCGAAACGGUGGCGGCGAAUACCCGCCAUUACUGACGGUACCGGCAGAAGAAGCACCGGCUAACUACGUGCCAGCAGCCGCGGUAAUACGUAGGGUGCGAGCGUUAAUCGGAAUUACUGGGCGUAAAGCGUGCGCAGGCGGUCUGUGAAGACAGGUGUGAAAGCCCCGGGCUUAACCUGGGAAUGGCGCUUGUAACUGGCAGGCUAGAGUGUGUCAGAGGGAGGUAGAAUUCCACGUGUAGCAGUGAAAUGCGUAGAGAUGUGGAGGAAUACCGAUGGCGAAGGCAGCCUCCUGGGAUAACACUGACGCUCAGGCACGAAAGCGUGGGGAGCAAACAGGAUUAGAAACCCCAGUAGUCC